GAAUGUGAGGGAAAAGAUAUUAAUCCUAAUUGACACAUGGCAAGAAGCCUUCGGGGGACCUCAGGGGAGAUAUCCUCAAUACUAUGCAGCAUAUAAUGAACUGAAGGCUGCUGGAGUUGAAUUCCCAGCUCGAGAAGAGAGCAGUGUACCAUUCUUUACUCCACCCCAGACCCAGCCAAUAAUUUCUCCUGUUACUGAAUAAAAUGAUGCUGCUAUUGAGGCCUUUUUACAGUCUGAUGCUUCAGGCCUCAGCUAAGAAAAUGGACUCACAACAAAGACAAGUGCACAAAGGAUGAUGAAUUGAAGGCUGAAG
Humulus lupulus (European hop) is the source of this 313-nucleotide long non-coding RNA. RefSeq lists it as uncharacterized. NCBI's taxonomy places the organism in Eukaryota, Viridiplantae, Streptophyta, Magnoliopsida, Rosales, Cannabaceae. The record is from RefSeq and is a predicted model, not a curated record. The transcript is spliced from 3 exons.